UGACCUCAAAUCAGGUCGG
Molecule: ribosomal RNA, 19 nt
Filed under: Mucidula mucida var. asiatica
Lineage: Eukaryota; Fungi; Basidiomycota; Agaricomycetes; Agaricales; Physalacriaceae
Description: partial 28S partial sequence
Source: RNAcentral